Molecule: transfer RNA, 76 nt
Filed under: Escherichia coli
Lineage: Bacteria; Pseudomonadati; Pseudomonadota; Gammaproteobacteria; Enterobacterales; Enterobacteriaceae
Also listed under: 14 other names
Description: tRNA-Lys
Rfam family: tRNA
About the family: Transfer RNA (tRNA) molecules are approximately 80 nucleotides in length. Their secondary structure includes four short double-helical elements and three loops (D, anti-codon, and T loops).
Source: RNAcentral
GGAUCGUUAGCUCAGUUGGUAGAGCAGUUGACUUUUAAUCAAUUGGUCGCAGGUUCGAAUCCUGCACGACCCACCA